GAUGAACGCUGGCGGCGUGCCUAAUACAUGCAAGUCGAGCGAACAGACCAGGAUCUUGCUCCGCUGACGUUAGGGGCGGACGGGUGAGUAACACGUGGAUAACCUACCUAUAAGACUGGGAUAAUUUCGGGAAACCGGAUCUUAUACCGGAUGAUAUAUUGAACCGCAGUGUGCAAUAGUGAAAUACGGUUUUGCUGUCAGUUAUAGAUGGAUCCUCGCCGCAUUAGCUAGUUGGUAAGGUAACGGCUUACCAAGGCAACGAUGCGUAGACGACCUGAGAGGGUGGUAGCCCACCUUGGAAGGGAGACAGGCACCAUACUACUGAGGGACGGCACAGUAGCGAAUCUUACGCAAUGGGGGAAAGCCUGACGGAGCAACGCGGCGUGAGUGAUGACGGUGUUCCGAUCGGAAAACUCUGUUACUGGGGAAGAACAAAUGUGUCAGUAACUAUGCCGGUAUUGACGGUACCUAGUCAGAAAGCACCGGCUAACUACGUG
Molecule: ribosomal RNA, 497 nt
Filed under: uncultured bacterium
Lineage: Bacteria
Description: partial 16S ribosomal RNA
Rfam family: Bacterial small subunit ribosomal RNA
Source: RNAcentral